AGAGUUUGAUCAUGGCUCAGGACGAACGCUGGCGGCGUGCUUAACACAUGCAAGUCGAGCGGAAAGGCCCUUCGGGGUACUCGAGCGGCGAACGGGUGAGUAACACGUGAGCAACCUGCCCCUGGCUCUAGGAUAGCUCCGGGAAACCGGGAUUAAUACCGGAUAUGACCUGCUUACGCAUGUUUGCGGGUGGAAAGUUUUUCGGCUGGGGAUGGGCUCGCGGCCUAUCAGCUUGUUGGUGGGGUGAUGGCCUACCAAGGCGACGACGGGUAGCCGGCCUGAGAGGGCGGGCGGCCACACUGGGACUGAGACACGGCCCAGACUCCUACGGGAGGCAGCAGUGGGGAAUAUUGCGCAAUGGGCGGAAGCCUGACGCAGCGACGCCGCGUGGGGGAUGAAGGCCUUCGGGUUGUAAACCUCUUUCACCAGGGGCGAAGCGAAAGUGACGGUACCUGGAGAAGAAGCGCCGGCUAACUACGUGCCAGCAGCCGCGGUAAUACGUAGGGCGCAAGCGUUGUCCGGAAUUAUUGGGCGUAAAGAGCUCGUAGGCGGCCAGUUGCGUCUGCUGUGAAAUCCCGGGGCUUAACCCUGGGCGUGCAGUGGAUACGGGCUGGCUGGAGGCAGGCAGGGGAGAAUGGAAUUCCCGGUGUAGCGGUGAAAUGCGCAGAUAUCGGGAGGAACACCGGUGGCGAAGGCGGUUCUCUGGGCCUGUUCUGACGCUGAGGAGCGAAAGCGUGGGGAGCGAACAGGAUUAGAUACCCCGGUAGUCC
This 770-nucleotide ribosomal RNA is filed under the name uncultured bacterium. RNAcentral's name for it is "bacterial SSU rRNA". It matches the Rfam family "Bacterial small subunit ribosomal RNA", at positions 8 to 796 of the family's 1533-position model. The record is from RNAcentral.